Fopius arisanus is the source of this 1408-nucleotide long non-coding RNA. RefSeq lists it as uncharacterized. Lineage: Eukaryota; Metazoa; Arthropoda; Insecta; Hymenoptera; Braconidae. The transcript is spliced from 2 exons. The record is from RefSeq and is a predicted model, not a curated record.
GUUCAAAGAGACCGUUUCACAAUUAGGGAGAGGUGAUGUAGACUAUUGUACUUGUACUUGUUUUCGACUAAUGUUUCUUAUCAAUUUGAGAAUUAUGGGGAUUCGCGAGACGAGUCAGCUGCUCUGCGAUUACUGCUGUCAAACGUGUUUCAAUUGCCUUUGAAUUACGGUCUUCAAUGCUGGAUUACUCAUCUCAUUUGUUCGCGGUUUAUCUACUUGGACUGUUUAUUCAUUUUCUCUUGCGGAUGCUGUGUUAGUACUUGAUAAUUAUACUCCUUUGUUUGGGUUCACGUCAAACCGGUCAUAUAUCGGGUUCAGAGGAAAUCUUACCCCAUUUUUCUGCUUAUGGAAUUCAGAAUUUCCCUGAUGAUUGUGUUAUAAAUUUUUUUGUGUAAUUUUCACACGUAAAUUUAAUCGGAAAAUUGUAAAAACGCAAUUGACUCGUGAAGGAGGGGAUGAGCUGUUUUAUCGACAUUUUUAUGCACAACGAAUGAUUGUUUAUACAUUAGAACAUUAAUUAUUCAUUUAAUUCACUCGGGGUUUUCAAUGGGAAAAAAAUGCGCGGUAAUUUUUGUAGGGAAUAUUAUUACGAUUAUUAAUAAAUUCAGUUUGUACAGUUUGUAGUUACUUUAUUAUCACGUUCCUUGUUUUAUCAUGAAAAUUACAAUUGACAGGAAAUUUUUUUGUCGUGUACAGGUCUUUGUUGUUUUAUCCUCAAAAAUCGACUAGUCUGCCAACAAAUGUGUCACCUUCUGAUUCAUAUGUAAAAUGCAGUAGAUCGGAGUAGAGCAACUCCCCUUCAAUUAUCAAUAUUUUGAAAACUAGUAAAAGAAACUCGAAGAAGCUGAACAUAAUGUUCACAGAUUUAAAUGAGAACGCAUGUGAGAAGAAAUCUCUAGAAAAACUUAGUGAUAAAAUUCUUAUUGGGAUUCUAUUGAAAUUCUACAGAAUUCUCGUUAGAAUUCUAUUAAUUUUUCGAUAAGAAAAAGUCAACGAAUUGUAAUUUUUCUGUUUAAAUGAAUCUCCCAAGAUGUUAUCUCUUAAAUUUACUGAGUGCAGAUUUUAUAAAUGAUUUUUAUUGAAAAAUCUAUUGACUUCUCCUCACCGAAUUUAUGAGAAAUUCAAGAGUGCUUUAAAGGAAGGACAAGGAAUUUCUCUUGAAUUUUAUCAAAAGUGAAAUGUACAGCUUCUCAACAGAUUCCGAAGCAUCAAUGAACGAGAAAAAUCAAUAGACUCAUCAAUAAAUUCUGCAAAUACUUAAUCAAUUACACAGAUUGGCACUCAAUGCGAAACAACUGUGGGAAAAUAAUUCACUCAUCGAUCAUACAAUAACCUCAAUAUUUCCACCAGUCCUAAACAAUCCCAGAAUAUUGUAGUUGACAUUAAUUAUUUUGAAUUUGCAUCAAUA